This 231-nucleotide ribosomal RNA is filed under the name uncultured bacterium. RNAcentral describes it as "partial 16S ribosomal RNA". It matches the Rfam family "Bacterial small subunit ribosomal RNA", at positions 103 to 334 of the family's 1533-position model. The record is from RNAcentral.
CGGGUGAGUAACGCGUGGGUAACCUGCCUUGUACUGGGGGACAACAGUUGGAAACGACUGCUAAUACCGCAUAAGCGCACAGCUUCGCAUGAAGCAGUGUGAAAAACUCCGGUGGUACAAGAUGGACCCGCGUCUGAUUAGCUGGUUGGUGAGGUAACGGCCCACCAAGGCAACGAUCAGUAGCCGGCCUGAGAGGGUGAACGGCCACAUUGGGACUGAGACACGGCCCAA